This 151-nucleotide non-coding RNA is filed under the name bovine gut metagenome. The record is from RNAcentral.
CGGGGAAGAAGCGAUGCAGCAAAGCCGACGGAGCCUACGAACAGAAAUCGGAUAUAAGGCGAAACGGUGGGUAAGGGUGCAAGACAACCUGAAGCCCGAAUGGUAAACGUACACCGAGACAGUAAAUCCGGAGGUUGUGCGGUGAAAGAAC